Molecule: transfer RNA, 72 nt
Filed under: Erinaceus europaeus (western European hedgehog)
Lineage: Eukaryota; Metazoa; Chordata; Mammalia; Eulipotyphla; Erinaceidae
Rfam family: tRNA
About the family: Transfer RNA (tRNA) molecules are approximately 80 nucleotides in length. Their secondary structure includes four short double-helical elements and three loops (D, anti-codon, and T loops).
Source: Rfam by way of RNAcentral
GGGGAGGUAGCACAGAGGUAGUGCACAGGAUUUGCAUGCAAAAGGUCCCAGGUUCAAUCCCUGGCACCACCA